UUCAUAGUUACGGACAGCUGUCUCAAUCUGUUAACUUCGACAGUUUUGCAGCCGUGUUUAAUUUGACAUGUAUUUAACGGUUUAAAACACUAAAUUUUUCAUUGUCAAGUUUGAACAUGUCUUAAUUUACUAUGCUCCCGGCGUAAUGCACGCCGUAUUUGACAAUCAUCUUCCACCUUGUUUAGUACGUACUCGUUACGUAAUAUAAAUAAUGAAUGAGCACUGCCCGUGUUGAUGUUUCAAGCAGAUGUUAAUAGUACAUUAGUAUAUAAAGGAUAUAAAAAUGAACCGGUGGACCGAAAAACUUUUAAACCAGCGUCGACAUCAGUUACUGAACCAUUUUUCCUGAAAGCUCAGGUCUCCGGAUAGCUGAUCGUAUCCGGGUCAAUACAAAUCAGCCUGGAAUGUGUUAUUUAUAAAUUAGUUUAAGAGGUUAUUGUUUUGAAGAAUCGAUGGGCCGAAACACACUUUUAAAACAGCCUCUCUACGGACCGUGACCUACGUUACAAACAUCAACAGUUACUGAACCAUUUUGCUGAAUACGUUCAGGCCUCACGGUAACUGAUCGUAACCAGGUCAAUACCAAUAAAUCUGGAAUGUGUUGUUCAUAAAUUAUAUUAAGAGGUUAUUGUGUUUGAAGGAGUUGAUUCACGACAAGGAAAUAUAUCAUGGGAGGAUGUACAGAAUGGUGUAAAAGUGAAUUUAAAGUGAAGAAUUUGUUGCUACAGCACGAAGAUCCACAAACUUUCAUUCAAUUUCAGUUUGGUUCCCAGAAAUUGUACCUAGUGUGGCGGAUAUUUUGGGCUCUGUACCACGUGGCCUGGAUUAUAGUGUCAGGGGUCAAGUCUGAUCUGUGGGCCGGAGAAGACAAUAGCCAGUAUAUAAAAUGGUUCAUUUUCCUCACAGACUGGGCUUACUUUAUACUGACACUGUCUACAAUUGUGGACGCUACAAUGGUCACAUAUGUGUUUGUUAGACGAACAGACAUUCGGGAAGGUAUAGAGAUUGGCCUACCGUGGUAUAUACGAGCUGAUUGGUGCAUUUUCAACAUGGGCAACGUUAUAAGUGUCUCAACAUCAGUAGCAUAUUGGGCGCUAGUAUAUGAUGGAAGUCAGCCUAUGACAUCAGUUAACAUUGCAACGCAUAUAAUCAACACUUUGUAUGUGAUUUUAAAUAUCAGUGUGACUGGAAUGCCGAAACGAGUCUUACAUUUCUGGUUCUCUGUUGUAUUCGGUGUGGUUUACGCUUUGUUCACCUUAUUUUAUUAUUUGGCUGGGGGAACCAACCAUAAUGAGAACCCGUAUGUGUAUCCGGCACUUGAUUGGAGGACACCGGGGACUGCUACUUUGUACUGUGUAAUAGUGUGUUUUGUUUUGGUGCCAGUAGUUCAUUUAAUUCUAUAUGGAAUUCAUCGGCUGAAAAUCUUGCUGUACCAGAAAUGUGACUGUUGCAGAAGUUCAAGAAAUGAAAGAGAUUCUACCGUGGAAAUGAAACAACAAUAUCCGUAUUAGGAACAGAAUAACAAGAUGCCCCGAGUUUUUCUUCAAAUACUACGUACCAACAAAGAACUAAAAAAAAUUUUAUAGCUCUUUGGUACCAUAGGGGCCCGGGCAUUGGGUGGAUCGUGUUAAAAUGUGCUGGAGCAUAAAAUAUUGAACCCUCUCGUUUAUAGGAUGUCACGAACGUUGGAGGUUUGAUUGCUGGACAACUCCGAUUCUUCCAUGACCAGUGAUUGCUCACUAGAAGUAACGUCUGCGACUUUUUGCCACAACGCCGUUUGUUUAAUUAAAGUUUUAUGAAGCAAUGCAUCCGUGACAACGCAAUAACCUCGGGUUAAAUAAUUGUCAACAUUAUGGCAUCUGUUUACAUGUAUACUCUCAAGGGAACAUGUUGGCGGAACAACAUUUUGCUGUAGGGAACAUUUCGAUUUAAUCAGUUAACUGCGUAUCUGCUUCGAACUGGACACUGAUUUAUAUGUUUCUGGUAAACUCCCACUUUAACAUGAUGUAGAAACAAAUGAGUAUGCACACAAUACAUUUUUAGAGAAAAGAUAUAUUCAGCAAAUUAUAGUUUCCAACAACACAAAACAGAUGUCGCUACAUAUGAACCGCACCAUGAGAAAACCAACAUAGUGUCUUUGCGACUAGCAUGGAUCCAGACCAGCCUGCGCAUCCGCACAGUCUGGUCAGGAUCCAUCUGUUCGCAAAUGGUUUCUCUAAUUGUAAUAGGCUUUGAAAGUGAACAGCAUGGAUCCUGACCAGACUGCGCGGAUGCAAAGCCACUAUGUUGGUUUUCUCAUGGCGCGGCUCAUAUUUUAUCUACAUGUAUUUAUUUCAUCUAUCGGCUAAUUCUAUUCAACAUCCUAGCAUCCUAGCACCUCUCUGUUUGCACGUGUCGUUGUACUGAGCAACGUGGCGAGAUACCCCUGUGCACGUUUGUCGCAUGCACUGAAGGCAGCAUCCAUACAGCAGGACUUUACGUCAUAAUAGGCCCUGUAACGGACGAAAAAAACAUAUAUAGCUAUAGACAGAUACUUUAACAACAGGGUGAAGAAACACUUCUUACCGUACUAUUCACUGACUUGGUAUCGUCAACUUCUAAUGAAAAUAUAUUUCAAAAAUUUAUGAUAAUUGCACACAAUGCAUGUUAAUUUGAGGUCAUUUUACGCAUAAAAUUGAUUGAGUUAUUUUCUUCUGUUUAUAUAUUGCUUGAACUUAAACUGCUGAUAAACCAGAAUCGCGUAGAAAAUACGUAAAAGUUACGUAGAAACACGUAAUCCUAAGAAACACUUGCAAAAAAAAAAUGAUUACAGAAAUGAAUCUGAAACCUUACCCACAGAGUCCUCUAUUUAGCUCAUCCGAACUGAGGGUAGUGUCGCUGACUACAUUGUCGACUACAAUUUUGAAUAACUCAAAACAGUAGGUGCACGUGUGCUGCAGGUCACCACGUGCUAGGCACGAACUCGUGACUAUAUCUGAAAAAAAAAGGAUAUACGAGCCGUGCCAUGGGAAA
Molecule: RNA transcript, 3012 nt
Organism: Mercenaria mercenaria
Lineage: Eukaryota; Metazoa; Mollusca; Bivalvia; Venerida; Veneridae
Gene name: protein rolling stone-like
Exons: 5
Source: RefSeq, a predicted model, not a curated record